Molecule: long non-coding RNA, 1652 nt
Filed under: Sinocyclocheilus anshuiensis
Lineage: Eukaryota; Metazoa; Chordata; Actinopteri; Cypriniformes; Cyprinidae
Description: lncRNA (ENSSANG00000048041.1)
Source: RNAcentral
AUGGCAAUGCUCCAUCAUACAAGACAAUAUGUUACAGACACCCAAAGGGAUACAUGGAGAAGACAAGGGGAGGACGGGUCAGCAGCUGACACCGUGGGCAUGGCAUUGGUUUUUACAGAACCAGAGUCUGAACUGGAUGCAGGACUGUACAUAUGCCACGUCUCGUACCACCACCACAUGGCUAAAGUUUUCAUUCGGGUGGAUGUAACUAGUGAAGAGACUCAACACAUGAUAUUCAUCACUAUUUGCUUCUCGUCAGCCGCUGCAAUCACCCUCAUCCUGAUUAUCAUUUUGGUUGUCCUCUGCAAAAGUGGGAGUAGUCACUCAUCACAAAAGAAGAAAGACAGGAGAGAGCGUGAGUCUCUAGCUGCUCUAAUGCAGGACCCUCGCUGCCCAGACAAGACUGUGAUUCCAGGCACGGCUGGGCCGCACUAUGCUGAGCUUGUGCACUAUUCCAUUGUUUUUGAUGCUAAAAGCACCGUGUGACACACCUGUUGAAUUUUAUGACCGUAAUAUAUACGUUUUUGCACAUACUUGUGGAGUUCAUCACAGCUUGAGUGCAUUAAAAGGGGGACAUGUUUAAGAAAUGAAUUCAUUUUCAGUCAGAUUGUUAUGCUGAUAAUGUAACUGGUAAUGGAAAAAAGAAAAUGAACAUUUGCUGAAAGUUUACUCAACCUAAGGCCAUCCAAGAUUUUAGAUGAAUUGUUUCAUCUGAACAGAUUUGGAGAAAUUUAGUUUUACACCAAUGGAUCCCCUGCAGUGAAUGGGUGCCGUCAGAAUGAGAGUCCAAACAGCUGAUAAAAACAUCACAAUAAUCCACACGUAAUCCACACGACUCCAGUCCAUCACUUAACAUCUUGUGAAGUGAAAACCUGCGUGUUUGUAAUAAACACAUCCAUCAGGUUUCUCCAGAUCUGUUCCGAUGAAGAAACAACUCAUCUACAUUAGAUGGCCUGAGGGUGAGUAAAUUUUAAGCAAAUGUUUAUUUUUGGAUGAACUAUUCCUUUAAUAAGAAUAUUUCACUAGUGGUCUCAGGGGUUUUGGACCCCACUGUAUAUACACAUUGCAAUUGGUGUUUUUGAUAUGUAGCUGUUCUUUUUCCUCAAUUACAAAUACCAAUUGUAAGGAAAAUGAAGUAGCUUGGUAUUACUUUCAGCAUUAUGAUUUACUUUGAUAAGUAGCAUUGUUUUAUAAAAAUAUUAUAAGCACAUUUUCAAUGUUUUACUACUUUUUAGGAUUGUUCUGAUUUACACAGAUGUUCUGAUAUGUUCUUCUUUACACAGAGAUAUACUUUAAAAAUCUGGCUGGUGUCUUCUAUCUUGUUUCCAUUCCAAUUGAACUUGUAGCACACAAACUGACUGAAUUUGUAACGCUGUAGCGCCCUCUGGUGAUCAUACAGUAAAUAGUGGGGGAAUCCACAUCUGGUCCUGGUGAGUCCAGUCUGAUAUUUUAGUUAUAAGAUUGUACUGUUUUCACAGUCUUUGUUACAACGACGACUGAUCUUCCUUUGUGUUGCUCUAAGAUGUUUAGGCAUCUCCGGGGUAAAUAAUGUGACUGUGACACUUGUAAAAAAUACAAUAAAAUACUUGACAAGUUUAAAUACUUAUCGAGUCUGUUUGUUUAUCAGGUAAACACUAUUUAUAAUCAUAAAA